UACGUAGGGGGCUAGCGUUGUCCGGAAUCAUUGGGCGUAAACCGCGUGUAGGCGGUCCGGUAAGUCCGCUGUGAAAGUCGGGGGCUCAACCCUCGGAUGCCGGUGGAUACUGUCGGGCUUGAGUACGGAAGAGGCGAGUGGAAUUCCUGGUGUAGCGGUGAAAUGCGCAGAUAUCAGGAGGAACACCAAUUGCGAAGGCAGCUCGCUGGGACGUUACUGACGCUGAGACGCGAAAGCGUGGGGAGCAAACAGG
This 253-nucleotide ribosomal RNA is filed under the name uncultured bacterium. RNAcentral's name for it is "partial 16S ribosomal RNA". It matches the Rfam family "Bacterial small subunit ribosomal RNA", at positions 524 to 776 of the family's 1533-position model. The record is from RNAcentral.